This 429-nucleotide ribosomal RNA is filed under the name bacterium. Its description in RNAcentral is "partial 16S ribosomal RNA". It matches the Rfam family "Bacterial small subunit ribosomal RNA", at positions 355 to 776 of the family's 1533-position model. The record is from RNAcentral.
UAGGGAAUCUUCGGCAAUGGGGGCAACCCUGACCGAGCAACGCCGCGUGAGUGAAGAAGGUUUUCGGAUCGUAAAGCUCUGUUGUAAGAGAAGAACGUGUGUGAGAGUGGAAAGUUCACACAGUGACGGUAACUUACCAGAAAGGGACGGCUAACUACGUGCCAGCAGCCGCGGUAAUACGUAGGUCCCGAGCGUUGUCCGGAUUUAUUGGGCGUAAAGCGAGCGCAGGCGGUUUAAUAAGUCUGAAGUUAAAGGCAGUGGCUUAACCAUUGUUCGCUUUGGAAACUGUUAAACUUGAGUGCAGAAGGGGAGAGUGGAAUUCCAUGUGUAGCGGUGAAAUGCGUAGAUAUAUGGAGGAACACCGGUGGCGAAAGCGGCUCUCUGGACUGUAACUGACGCUGAGGCUCGAAAGCGUGGGGAGCAAACAGG